CUGCCCCAAGGAUUCAUCCUUUACUAACCUCCAGUUCUGUUUUUUAGAAAGCUGCCAAACCAAGACAAGAGAGAAUGAACUACAUUCAGAAGGUGCAGAAAUUAGAUUAGCAUCAGGAAGUUACAUAGUUAUAUAAUCACAUAAUUGAUAGCUGAAAAAAUACAUGUGUCCAUCAAGUUCUGCCUUUCUCACAUUUGCCUUUGCUGUUAAUCCAAAAGAAGGCAAAAAACACAGUCUGAAGCGCUUUCAAUUGUGCAACAAACUAGGAAAAAAUUCCUUCUUGACCCCAGACUGGCAGUCAGAUAUCUCCUUGGAUCAAGAAGCUAUUACCCCACUAAUAAAUAAUUAUAUCCCAAUAUAGUAUGUUUUGCAAGUAUUUAUCCAAUUGCUGUUUAACCCCUUAAGUAUGGUGGGCAUUCUAUGCUGUCCUUUCUGAGGCGGUCAUGAACGCCGGCUUGAAAAAUGUCCCAAAUAGGACAUGGGUGCAUGAUGACUAGCUGAGAAAAUUCCAAGUUGGAAAACUGGAAUGUGCACCCUCUAAAUAGGUAUUUUAGCCCUAGAGAACCCAACAAACCUAUACAUGGGGCUUAUCACUGUACUCCGGAGAUGUUGCUGAACACAUAUUGGGACCUUCUUUGGCAGUAACCCUUGAAGUUCUCCAUUCUUAAAUUGCAAUA
Molecule: non-coding RNA, 677 nt
Organism: Pelobates cultripes (western spadefoot toad)
Lineage: Eukaryota; Metazoa; Chordata; Amphibia; Anura; Pelobatidae
Source: the annotation of a GenBank genome assembly